GACGAACGCUGGCGGCGUGCUUAACACAUGCAAGUCGAACGGAAAGGCCCUGCUUUUGUUGGUUUCUCGAGUGGCGAACGGGUGAGUAACACGUGAGUAACCUGCCCUUGACUUUGGGAUAACUUCAGGAAACUGGGGCUCAUACCGGAUAGGAUCUCCUGCUGCAUGGUGGGGGUUGGAAAGUUUCGGCGGUUGGGGAUGGACUCGCGGCUUAUCAGCUUGUUGGUGGGGUAGUGGCUUACCAAGGCUUUGACGGGUAGCCGGCCUGAGAGGGUGACCGGCGACAAUGGGACUGAGAUACGGCCCAGACUCCUACGGGAGGCAGCAGUGGGGAAUAUUGCACAAUGGGCGGAAGCCAGAUGCAGCAACGCCGCGUGCGGGAUGACGGCCUUCGGGUUGUAAACCGAUUUCGCCUGUGACGAAGAGGGAGUGACGGUAAUGGGUAAAGAAGCACCGGCUAACUACGUG
Molecule: ribosomal RNA, 468 nt
Filed under: uncultured bacterium
Lineage: Bacteria
Description: partial 16S ribosomal RNA
Rfam family: Bacterial small subunit ribosomal RNA
Source: RNAcentral